Molecule: ribosomal RNA, 492 nt
Filed under: uncultured bacterium
Lineage: Bacteria
Description: partial 16S ribosomal RNA
Rfam family: Bacterial small subunit ribosomal RNA
Source: RNAcentral
AGUGAACGCUGGCGGUAGACCUAACACAUGCAAGUCGAACGGCAGCACAGUAAGAGCUUGCUCUUACGGGUGGCGAGUGGCGGACGGGUGAGGAAUACAUCGGAAUCUACUUUUUCGUGGGGGAUAACGUAGGGAAACUUACGCUAAUACCGCAUACGACCUACGGGUGAAAGCAGGGGAUCUUCGGACCUUGCGCGAUUGAAUGAGCCGAUGUCGGAUUAGCUAGUUGGCGGGGUAAAGGCCCACCAAGGCGACGAUCCGUAGCUGGUCUGAGAGGAUGAUCAGCCACACUGGAACUUGGACACGGUCCAGACUCCUACGGGAGGCAGCAGUGGGGAAUAUUGGACAAUGGGGGCAAGCCUGAUCCAGCCAUACCGCGUGGGUGAAGAAGGCCUUCGGGUUGUAAAGCCCUUUUGUUGGGAAAGAAAAGCAGCAGGUUAAUACCCCGCUGUUCUGACGGUACCCAAAGAAUAAGCACCGGCUAACUUCGUG